Molecule: ribosomal RNA, 264 nt
Filed under: Brevibacillus invocatus
Lineage: Bacteria; Bacillati; Bacillota; Bacilli; Caryophanales; Paenibacillaceae
Description: partial 16S ribosomal RNA
Rfam family: Bacterial small subunit ribosomal RNA
Source: RNAcentral
UGGAGAGUUUGAUCCUGGCUCAGGACGAACGCUGGCGGCGUGCCUAAUACAUGCAAGUCGAGCGAGGGUCUUCGGACCCUAGCGGCGGACGGGUGAGUAACACGUAGGCAACCUGCCCAUAAGACUGGGAUAACAUAGGGAAACUUAUGCUAAUACCGGAUAGAGUCUUCUCCCGCAUGAGAGAAGACGGAAAGGUGGCGCAAGCUACCACUUGUGGAUGGGCCUGCGGCGCAUUAGCUAGUUGGUGGGGUAACGGGCUACCAA